Molecule: long non-coding RNA, 1485 nt
Filed under: Gossypium barbadense (sea-island cotton)
Lineage: Eukaryota; Viridiplantae; Streptophyta; Magnoliopsida; Malvales; Malvaceae
Description: long non-coding RNA (GBAR_LNC016324)
Source: RNAcentral
UGUUUUUAGCCGAUCUAAUCGUGCACUAUAUAAGUAUAACCAUCUGCCUAUGCCCAAGGUUCAGUCAGCUGAAGCAGCAUUAUGACAAACACCAAACUAGUUCCUAAUAAACCAAGCUUUGUGAUUCUAGGUUUAGGAACCAACAUGAUGCCCAAUAGGAUGAAAGAGAAAGUAAAUAAACAACAAUUCAACCAAAUUACUGACAGAAAUGAAACGAGUGAUGAAAGGAACUCAUGGUAGAGAAGAGAUUAAAGUCGAAGUUUCUCCUCCCAAGUCCCACAACCAGGUCUGAAACACGGCAGGCUCCAUCAAUACAGAUUAAAAUUGAACGCAUUGAAUAAAGAAGAUCAAUCCUGGAGUACCCUUUGACCAUCACAUUCAGAAAACGUAAUAUAUGAUCAACAUCAAUUGAAAACACUCGACAUGAACCAUUAUCGAAACCACCACCAGCUAUGCAUAGAAUAAGCAAGCAUACGAAUUUAAAACAUAAAGAUUAUAGUGCUCCACACAAAGGAAAAGAAUGAUUAGAUCCUACAAAUCCCGGUGGUGAGAUAAAGAUGAAUUGCGAGUUAAGGGGAAAAAAUAAAAACAUUAUCCAGCCACUGUCAGCUUCAAAGAUACAAUUUAAGAGAUGAGAUAGAACUUACUGUUGUAAGCAGGAAAGCAUGUGCAUAUGUGUCGACUGAUGAAUUAUAGGCUAUAAAGCAAGUAUUAAGGAGAGGGGGGAAAAACUAAAAUAUGUUAUAGGAAUUAACCCUGAAAACUUUGACAUAAAGACAUUAGAUCAUAGAAACCAAUUUCCCGGAUAAGAUAUGAUACAAGUGAAUAUAUCAAGUAAACAUAUAUACAUAUAUGAACUAAAAUAGUAUGUUAACAUAGUAGGUACAAAAAGAAAGAGAACCGAUAAAAGUAAAAGCAAAGUGUGAUUCUGGACCUAAUUCAUUUAUCUUGACCUAACCGCUAAAAUAUGUAUGUGCUCCUCUAGUACUAUUAACAUUAAUAUUCAUGGAGAGAGUAAUUAUGUUGGGUUAGUGAAGUAAAAACCCUAAAUUUGUAAGUGAUGCAAGUAUUGCUUAAAACCCUAAUCUUAGGAAAUAAAUGAGAAGAAAAAAAAUUAGGAAAAAAAUGGAAAAAUAAAUAAUGGAAAGGCCCUGGAAUGGAGUGCAACUGCAGGUAGCAAAACUAGGAAAUGGAGUAAGAGAGAAGGUGGAGCAUAAUAAUAGAAAAGAAAAGAAAAAGGAGCUAGCUGCAGAAAUUAUGGAUUGUGGAGGCCAGGAUGAAAGGAAUGAGUUAUAGCAUGUAUGUAUAUGUAUGUGUAUGUAUGUGUGUAUUGUUCAUGGGCAAAUUAAAGGGAAAGGAUAUGGGUCGUUGUUGUCAUGAGAGUCAGAUACAGGAAAGCGACCCAACAUCUGAAUAUAUCUAACGAGGGAGAGUGGAGAAUAGUAUGUAAUGGGGGAAGAGGAAGGAAAAAGAAUAUUAGAAAUC